ACGUAGGGGGCAAACGUUGCUCGGAAUUACUGGGCGUAAAGGGUGAGUAGGCGGCUGUGCAAGUCAGGGAUGAAAUCCCGCGGCUUAACCGCGGAACUGUCUUUGAAACUGCACGGCUUGAGGACAGUAGAAGAGAAUGGAAUUCCCGGUGGAGCGGUGAAAUGCGUAGAUAUCGGGAGGAACACCUGAGGCGAAAGCGAUUCUCUAUGCUGCUCCUGACGCUGAGUCACGAAAGCCAGGGGAGCAAACGGGAUUAGAUACCCCGGUAGUCCUGGCCAUAAACGAUGGAUACUGGAUAUUCCUGCAGUUGUGUGGGAGUGUCGAAGCUAACGCGUUAAGUAUCCCGCCUGGGGAGUACGGUCGCAAGGCUG
RNAcentral lists this ribosomal RNA (371 nucleotides) under uncultured bacterium. RNAcentral describes it as "bacterial SSU rRNA". It matches the Rfam family "Bacterial small subunit ribosomal RNA", at positions 525 to 896 of the family's 1533-position model. The record is from RNAcentral.